UGGGGCUUUAGGGGAGGAUGUCUCUCCUGAAGCUGUGAAGGUCAGCAUCUCAGCUGAGGGAGGAAGUCAUGUCUUGGCUCCAAUUGUGUCACACAGUACAGUUGAGGGAGGCAUCCACAUCCAACACCAUUAUCAUGGUGCUGGGGAUUCAGCUGCAGCCAAACCAACACAGGAAGCAGCCAAACCCCACACUUCUGCAGCUCUGGCCAGGCAAGAAGAGCACAUUUCCCACACAGGGAGAGCAAAUGCCC
Long non-coding RNA from Alosa alosa (allis shad), 251 nucleotides. RefSeq lists it as uncharacterized. The record is from RefSeq and is a predicted model, not a curated record. Lineage: Eukaryota; Metazoa; Chordata; Actinopteri; Clupeiformes; Clupeidae. The transcript has 3 exons.